This is a long non-coding RNA of Aquila chrysaetos chrysaetos, 489 nucleotides long. RefSeq lists it as uncharacterized. The record is from RefSeq and is a predicted model, not a curated record. Lineage: Eukaryota; Metazoa; Chordata; Aves; Accipitriformes; Accipitridae. The transcript has 2 exons.
UUUGCAAUUUAUUAUUGGUGUCACAGACACAAUACAAUGCAGGUUAAUUUUGCAAAAUACCUGUCAUUACAGAAGAAUUCAAAUGAUUUUACAAGGAGACUGAAUAGAAAAAAAAAAAGAACAAAAAUUAAAGAUAUGUGGCUAUUGUUGGCUGUAUCAUCUCAAUCCCCUUUCUGUUUUAUAUAAUACAGUUUAAGAUUUUUGUGGAUUUACCCUCUGCUCUGGACAGUCAUUCUGAUGUCAGAUCCCAUACCGUGUGUUUGGUAAGAGCGAAUGUCAGAGCUUGAUGUGGAUGUGUUACUAGAACCUGAAAACUGUGCCUCAGCAAAAAGAUACUUCAGAAGGUUAAGAAGCAACUAAUCACUCCUGGCAAAGCCUGGAUAUGAAUUGGCAACCCAGAAGUAGCAACCUUAAUACCUGAAGUCACUUCCCUGCACUUUGCAGAUUACAUUUCUGAAAUGAAGUAAAACUCUAUGGUAAAUCAACAGA